Molecule: non-coding RNA, 70 nt
Submitted as: unclassified sequences
Source: Rfam
GGCACGCUUGCUGCUAUUCAUCUCCCAACGGUGGCCAACGGCGGUCACCGAACCACGACAAAGGCGUCGC